This 468-nucleotide ribosomal RNA is filed under the name uncultured bacterium. Its description in RNAcentral is "partial 16S ribosomal RNA". It matches the Rfam family "Bacterial small subunit ribosomal RNA", at positions 28 to 507 of the family's 1533-position model. The record is from RNAcentral.
GACGAACGCUGGCGGCGUGCUUAACACAUGCAAGUCGAACGGAAAGGCCCUGCUUUUGUGGGGUGCUCGAGUGGCGAACGGGUGAGUAACACGUGAGUAACCUGCCCUUGACUUUGGGAUAACUUCAGGAAACUGGGGCUAAUACCGGAUAGGAGCUCCUGCUGCAUGGUGGGGGUUGGAAAGUUUCGGCGGUUGGGGAUGGACUCGCGGCUUAUCAGCUUGUUGGUGGGGUAGUGGCUUACCAAGGCUUUGACGGGUAGCCGGCCUGAGAGGGUGACCGGCCACAUUGGGACUGAGAUACGGCCCAGACUCCUACGGGAGGCAGCAGUGGGAAAUAUUGCACAAGGGGCGGAAGCCUGAGGCAGCAACGCCGCGUGCGGGAUGACGGCCUUCGUGUUGUAAACCGCUUUCGCCUGUGACGAAGCGUGAGUGACGGUAAUGGGUAAAGAAGCACCGGCUAACUACGUG